CACUAGCCCUGAUAGAAGCGGUAUCCUUUUUUUGGCUUUUUCGGCCAAAAAAGAUAUAGCGGAUAGCAGGAUUAGCU
RNAcentral lists this small RNA (77 nucleotides) under Flavobacterium xinjiangense. RNAcentral describes it as "Flavo-1 RNA". It matches the Rfam family "Flavo-1 RNA". The record is from RNAcentral. Lineage: Bacteria; Pseudomonadati; Bacteroidota; Flavobacteriia; Flavobacteriales; Flavobacteriaceae.